This 628-nucleotide small RNA is filed under the name Pan troglodytes (chimpanzee). RNAcentral's name for it is "retained intron". Lineage: Eukaryota; Metazoa; Chordata; Mammalia; Primates; Hominidae. The record is from RNAcentral.
CGGGCACAGGGCCUGCCCUGCCUGCUGGAGAAACAGAAAAGUCCCUUUUCCCUGACUCCAGCUGGGGCUCUGAGUGGGGAGGGAAGGAGUGGGGACCGACCCGGGGCUGUGCCAGAAAAAGUGCCCUCAGGGUUACCUCUCCCCAGCCCUGGGCCCCCAGGUCCCCCCCGAGCACCAAGGCCUGUGCUGGGCACUGGGACCUCUGGAGGGACUCCCUUUCAGAGCCAGGCCUGGGACCCUCCCGAUCCCUGCUUGAUUCCUCCAGUUGGGGGCAUGGCAGGCGUGAAGAGGGCCUCGGAGGACUCUGAGGAGGAGCCGUCAGGGAAGAAGGCUCCAGUCCAGGCGGCCAAGCUGCCCUCGCCCGUCCCAGCCCGGAAGUCUCCACUAUCUCCAGCCCAGACAAACCCUGUGGUCCAGAGGAGGAAUGAGGGUGCAGGGGUCCCGCCCCCCAAGACUGACCAGGCAUUGGCGGGCAGCUUGGUCAGCAGCACCUGCGGGGUCUGCGGCAAGCACGUGCACCUGGUACAGCGGCACCUGGCCGAUGGGAGACUCUACCACCGGAGCUGCUUCAGGUGGGGCUGCCCUCUGCCCGCACGCCUGAGUGUGCACCUCCCCUCCCAGAACCCUC